GGGCCCGUAGCUCAGUGGCAGAGCAGUCGGCUCAUAACCGAUCGGUCGCAGGUUCGAUCCCUGCCGGGCCCA
This 72-nucleotide transfer RNA is filed under the name Dehalococcoidia bacterium. RNAcentral's name for it is "tRNA-Ile". It matches the Rfam family "tRNA". From Rfam's summary of the family: Transfer RNA (tRNA) molecules are approximately 80 nucleotides in length. Their secondary structure includes four short double-helical elements and three loops (D, anti-codon, and T loops). Further hydrogen bonds mediate the characteristic L-shaped molecular structure. tRNAs have two regions of fundamental functional importance: the anti-codon, which is responsible for specific mRNA codon recognition, and the 3' end, to which the tRNAs corresponding amino acid is attached (by aminoacyl-tRNA synthetases). tRNAs cope with the degeneracy of the genetic code in two manners: having more than one tRNA (with a specific anti-codon) for a particular amino acid; and 'wobble' base-pairing, i.e. permitting non-standard base-pairing at the 3rd anti-codon position. Lineage: Bacteria; Bacillati; Chloroflexota; Dehalococcoidia. The record is from RNAcentral.